GAUGAAGAACGUAGCGAAAUGCGAUAAGUAGUGUGAAUUACAGAAUUCAGUGAAUCAUCGAAUCUUUGAACGCACAUUGCGCCCCUUGGUAUCCCGAGGGGCAUGCCUGUUCGAGCGUCAUUUCACCACUCAAGCCUGGCUUGGUGUUGGGCGACGUCCCCUUUGGGGACGCGCCUCGAAACGCUCGGCGGCGUGGCACCGGCUUUAAGCGUAGCAGAAUCUUUCGCUUUGGAAGUCGGGGCCCCGUCUGCCGGAAGACCUACUCGCAAGGUUGACCUCGGAUCAGGCAGGGAUACCCGCUGAACUUAAGCAUAUCAAUAAGCGGAGGA
Molecule: unclassified non-coding RNA, 329 nt
Filed under: soil metagenome
Description: partial contains 5.8S ribosomal RNA, internal transcribed spacer 2, and large subunit ribosomal RNA
Rfam family: 5.8S ribosomal RNA (bases 1-120)
Source: RNAcentral